UUUAGGUUCAUCAAUUUUAUUUUGUUUUUAAGAAAAAGAGUUGUUCAAACGGCCUAGCUUGGGAACGAGGUAUUGUUGUCAAUUUAAGGAAUAAGAGGUGUUUAAACGGAGUGAGGAUUCAUAUAGCCGAUCCGACUAGCUUGGGAACGAGGAUAGUUAUUGGUUGUUGUUGUUGAUCUAAGGAAUAAGAAUUAAGAUAUGAGAGCCAAAAGGGAAUGGGAAGAAGGAACAGAAGACUCACAGUUCCUGGUUUCAUCCAUCAGGUACACUAGGAAAUGUGAAGGGACAUGUUAGGUGGAUCUUGAUUUAUCAAUGAUGCUUUUUUGUAUAUUCUACUGCAAAAGAAAGGAUUGGCCUAAAUGUAAACCUUGUUGAAGCAUGUUGUUCCUUUCUUAAAUCAAAGAGAUGAAUAUUAGGAGGAUCGUCUUCUAUGGGUGUUCCAUUAGACUUUUUGGAAACUUAAAUUCGGCAAAAUAAGAUUGUAUUCAGAAUGUGUACACUGAGCAUAAAGUCGUUCAGCAGAAGGGGUAUCUCAAGUAUAGAAUAGAACUCUGGAUCCUUUUGUUCCAACUUCCAAACUCUCUGCGUGUUCACUCUUUCUUUCUGGUCCACAGCCUCUGUAACUCAUAGCUUUUACUUUAGUUGUUCUAAUGCCAUUCAGAGAUAUCGCCCAAGAAAAUUGAUA
RNAcentral lists this long non-coding RNA (685 nucleotides) under Nicotiana benthamiana. Its description in RNAcentral is "long non-coding RNA (NBEN_LNC037070)". Lineage: Eukaryota; Viridiplantae; Streptophyta; Magnoliopsida; Solanales; Solanaceae. The record is from RNAcentral.